This is a long non-coding RNA of Leopardus geoffroyi (Geoffroy's cat), 1220 nucleotides long. RefSeq lists it as uncharacterized. The transcript has 3 exons. Lineage: Eukaryota; Metazoa; Chordata; Mammalia; Carnivora; Felidae. The record is from RefSeq and is a predicted model, not a curated record.
ACGUGUGCUCUUCCCAUUUGUUGACCUAGUUGAUCUCAGAACUGCCAGCUCUGAAAUUUUAAGAUGACUUUUCAGUCAUGUAGGUUUUACCUUUGAAUCUUAGUUUGGUGUAGAAACCCCACUCAAGGCUAUUAAAAAUGCCAUCUGCAUCAGAUAAACUAUCAGUACCAUUUAGGAGGAAGUAAAUUAAUGGAAUAUAUUUUUUUUUUAUUGGAAAAUAAAGAAGAUGGGAAGGGGCAUGAGAGAAUUGUUGCCUUAUUUUUUUAACCAUUUUGUUUUUUUGCUCUCUCUGAAUCUGAAGAAUUAUAGAAGAUAUUUAUAAAGUACUAGUUAAUCCUUACUCUUCAGUGUUAAAAGCAGCUUAAAUUUUAAUCUUAGCUUUUUUGGCACUGAGCAUAUAUCUUGCAAAUAAGUUCUAAUGCUGUUAUCCGAGAACAAAGAUGCCAUCUGUACUGGAUAGGUCUUUAUUUGUUACAGAUCACUGGAUGCAUAAAAAAUGUGAUUUUUAACUCAGGGUAACUGAAUCCACAAUAUACUAAACAUGCUUUAUGGUGGCUUAUAAUGGGUUUCUAGUUAUGGAAUAAUGUAAUGAUGCUUAAGUAGCAUUAAGUAGCAGCAUUCGUGAGCUGCAUGAAACCUGAGAGAUAUAGCUGAUACCUCAAGGCAAAUUAGACUACUGAUUCUCAGAAAGGUUACUAGAGUCUCCUAACUCCUAAUUUUUCUGAGCCAUUUUUAUCUUUAUGUCAAGGUCAAAUCAUGCCUGUUCACAUACUUCACACCUUUUCAUGUGACGCUACAGAGCCAUACUAUGCCUCCUUCAGUUUAUGGCAUUUGGUCUCAGAGAAACUGAAAAUCUUUUCUGUAAAUACAAGUUACUUAUUGUUUGUAUCAUUUAACUAGAUGCUAAUAAUUUUUAUUGCCCUCUUUGGCUCCAUGGAUUGCAGGAUGAGAACUUUUGUUGGAGAGUAUUGAUUUGUAGCUUAAAUAGAAGUAAAUACUUGUGAGCCCAUGUAUAGAAUAUGUACUUUAACUACCUUAGCUUUAAUCAUUUUUAGAGCUAGAUCAUUUUGUUUCAGAGUACCUAAAGUAUCAGUUAAUGAGGUUUUUCUCCUGAUUUGUCAGUGUAUAGUAAGGAACUUUAAAUUUUUUUUUUAAUGUUUAUUCAUUUUUAAGAGAGAGAGAGAGAGAGCGCGCGAGCAAGCAGGGGAGGGGCAGAGAGA